GGGGUCGACUGGAAUUGACAGUAUGACAAAUUUUAUUUUUGCAUGUCGGGUGAAGUAAACAUCCGUGACUAAAUACAAAUUUUUAUAAACGGCGAACGUAAAUACGAUUACGCUAUGGCAGUUUAAAUUCAAAGAAUUUAAAUAACCACAUCAUUUUUAGCUUUGAUCUUCAGUUAAUUAUAUGAUGUCAUAAGAGGAUCUCACAUAUAUUCUUCUCUAUAAUUAUAUAUGGAAAUUUAAAUAGAUAAGGUUAGAAGUUGGUUGAUAUUUUCCUGCUCUUUCUCGAAAAUUAAAAAUUAUCUAAGCGUGUAGACGGAAUAUUAUUUCCAUAUCUGGACGCGGGUUCGAAUCCCGCCGACUCCACAA
Molecule: transfer-messenger RNA, 366 nt
Filed under: Cytophagales
Lineage: Bacteria; Pseudomonadati; Bacteroidota; Cytophagia
Also listed under: 1 other name
Description: MED-G16 sp902633975 X1 Standard tmRNA
Rfam family: transfer-messenger RNA
About the family: Bacterial tmRNA, also known as 10Sa RNA or SsrA, is named for its dual tRNA and mRNA-like properties. Its role is to liberate the mRNA from a stalled ribosome. To accomplish this part of the tmRNA is used as a reading frame that ends in a translation stop signal.
Source: RNAcentral